Molecule: ribosomal RNA, 636 nt
Filed under: uncultured fungus
Lineage: Eukaryota; Fungi
Description: eukaryotic LSU rRNA
Rfam family: Eukaryotic large subunit ribosomal RNA
Source: RNAcentral
CCCGCUGAACUUAAGCAUAUCAGUAAGCGGAGGAAAAGAAAAUAACAAUGAUUACCUCAGUAGCGGCGAGUGAAGAGGUAUUAGCCCAAGAUGUUAAUCCGUAGUAAAGCUAUGGAAUUGUAAUCUAAAGAAUUUCUCAGAAGGAGAGGCUUGUCAUAAGUUCUUUGGAACAAGACACCAUAGAGGGUGAAAGUCCCGUCUUUGGAUAAGCCGAACCGUAUGAGGAGUUUCUAAGAGUCGGGUAGUUUGGGAAUGCUGCCCUAAGUUGGAGAUAAACUUCUCCUAAGGCUAAAUAUAAGAUAGGAGACCGAUAGCAUACAAGUACUGCGAAGGAAAGAUGAAAAGAACUUUGAAAAGAGGGUUAAAAGACUUGAAAUCGUUGAAAAGGAAGCAGUAAAAGAGAAAUUAUAGUCUACGAAUUAACUUAUUAAUCUAAACAACACGGUGGAGAAUACUUCAUAGGGUUCUUGCUGGAUUGUGAACAUUAAUAGGGUUUCGUAGAUGAAAGACAAAAUGGCAUUUUUAUCUAAUAAUAAGGUUAGAAGUGUAUUCUUCGACCAAAAAUUACAUAGAAGUGUGAGGGAUUAAUUAAUGAUUUUGUCAAAAUGGCUUUUACUGACCCGUCUUGAAACACGG